This 649-nucleotide ribosomal RNA is filed under the name Alteromonas macleodii. Its description in RNAcentral is "bacterial SSU rRNA". It matches the Rfam family "Bacterial small subunit ribosomal RNA", at positions 91 to 742 of the family's 1533-position model. The record is from RNAcentral. Lineage: Bacteria; Pseudomonadati; Pseudomonadota; Gammaproteobacteria; Alteromonadales; Alteromonadaceae.
ACGAGUGGCGGACGGGUGAGUAAUGCUUGGGAACUUGCCUUUGCGAGGGGGAUAACAGUUGGAAACGACUGCUAAUACCGCAUAAUGUCUUCGGACCAAACGGGGCUUCGGCUCCGGCGCAAAGAGAGGCCCAAGUGAGAUUAGCUAGUUGGUAAGGUAACGGCUUACCAAGGCGACGAUCUCUAGCUGUUCUGAGAGGAAGAUCAGCCACACUGGGACUGAGACACGGCCCAGACUCCUACGGGAGGCAGCAGUGGGGAAUAUUGCACAAUGGGGGAAACCCUGAUGCAGCCAUGCCGCGUGUGUGAAGAAGGCCUUCGGGUUGUAAAGCACUUUCAGUUGUGAGGAAAAGUUAGUAGUUAAUACCUGCUAGCCGUGACGUUAACAACAGAAGAAGCACCGGCUAACUCCGUGCCAGCAGCCGCGGUAAUACGGAGGGUGCGAGCGUUAAUCGGAAUUACUGGGCGUAAAGCGCACGCAGGCGGUUUGUUAAGCUAGAUGUGAAAGCCCCGGGCUCAACCUGGGAUGGUCAUUUAGAACUGGCAGACUAGAGUCUUGGAGAGGGGAGUGGAAUUCCAGGUGUAGCGGUGAAAUGCGUAGAUAUCUGGAGGAACAUCAGUGGCGAAGGCGACUCCCUGGCCAAAGACUG